Molecule: non-coding RNA, 113 nt
Organism: Picea glauca (white spruce)
Lineage: Eukaryota; Viridiplantae; Streptophyta; Pinopsida; Pinales; Pinaceae
Source: Rfam
UUUUCUAGUGGUCUUAAUGUAGUGGAUCCCAUUAGAACUCUGCAGUUAAGCGCGCUUGGGCUAGAGCAUGAUUGGAAUGGGUGACCUCUCGAGAAGUCUUAGUAAUGGAGUAU